UACGUAGGGUGCAAGCGUUGUCCGGAAUUAUUGGGCGUAAAGAGCUCGUAGGCGGUCUGUCGCGUCGGCUGUGAAAACCCGGGGCUCAACCCCGGGCCUGCAGUCGAUACGGGCAGACUAGAGUGCGGUAGGGGAGACUGGAAUUCCUAGUGUAGCGGUGAAAUGCGCAGAUAUCAGGAGGAACACCGGUGGCGAAGGCGGGUCUCUGGGCCGUAACUGACGCUGAGGAGCGAAAGCGUGGGGAGCGAACAGG
This 253-nucleotide ribosomal RNA is filed under the name uncultured bacterium. RNAcentral's name for it is "partial 16S ribosomal RNA". It matches the Rfam family "Bacterial small subunit ribosomal RNA", at positions 524 to 776 of the family's 1533-position model. The record is from RNAcentral.